Non-coding RNA from Cricetulus griseus (Chinese hamster), 392 nucleotides. The record is from RefSeq and is a predicted model, not a curated record. Lineage: Eukaryota; Metazoa; Chordata; Mammalia; Rodentia; Cricetidae.
CCUAAGCAGCCAGCUCCUGGCAGGCUUUUUCAGAUGCGUUAAAACUUGCUGGUGUUCCCGGAGUGUCUACAGAGGUUGUGUGUAGACACUACUUUGAAACAAGGAAGGCAGAAGACCAGGCAAGGGCCCCGGGAUCCAGCCCAGUACUUUCCAGUGGCACACAUGCCUUGUUUGUCUUGAUUCUUGAAGACAAUUCCAGUGACCCAUACGUGAAGCUGUCAUUGUAUGUAGCAGAUGAGAAUAGAGAACUUGCUCUGGUUCAGACAAAGACAAUUAAAAAGACGCUGAACCCGAAGUGGAACGAAGAGUUUUAUUUUAGAGUAAAUCCAUCUAAUCACAGGCUCCUAUUUGAAGUAUUUGAUGAGAACAGAUUGACACGAGACGACUUCCUG